UGGCUAGUAGAUUAAAUUAAAAGGAUUCGGUAUCAAAAACUUUACUUUGUUUCUUUACUUGUUUUGAUUUUGACAUUAAAAAAAAAACAUAAGACCUAAAUAUUUAGUAUGAAGCCUUGGGAGAAGAUAGAAGCCUAAGGAUGAAAAUCUAAACUAGUAGGAGGCUAAUUGGAAGGGAUGAAAGCAAGGCAUGAUCGGAUAAAGGCAAGGAAUGGAAAACUUCAUCCCUAUUGGUCAAAUACUAUACCCAAUGGACUUUGAGGAGGCUGCCCGCGACCUUAACAAAGAAUUCGACGACUUCAAAGAGGGAAUUUGGAGAUUAAAAGCUAGGUUUGUAAAUUUUA
RNAcentral lists this long non-coding RNA (344 nucleotides) under Physcomitrium patens. Its description in RNAcentral is "long non-coding RNA (PPAT_LNC011261)". Lineage: Eukaryota; Viridiplantae; Streptophyta; Bryopsida; Funariales; Funariaceae. The record is from RNAcentral.